RNAcentral lists this ribosomal RNA (253 nucleotides) under uncultured bacterium. RNAcentral describes it as "partial 16S ribosomal RNA". It matches the Rfam family "Bacterial small subunit ribosomal RNA", at positions 524 to 776 of the family's 1533-position model. The record is from RNAcentral.
UACGUAGGGGGCAAGCGUUGUCCGGAUUUAUUGGGCGUAAAGAGCGUGUAGGCGGCUUUACAGGUCCGUUGUGAAAACUCGAGGCUCAACCUCGAGACGCCGGUGGAAACCGUAAAGCUAGAGUCCGGAAGAGGAGAGUGGAAUUCCUGGUGUAGCGGUGAAAUGCGCAGAUAUCAGGAAGAACACCCGUGGCGAAGGCGGCAUCCUGGACCGAUACUGACGCUGAGGAGCGAAAGCCAGGGGAGCAAACGGG